RNAcentral lists this ribosomal RNA (261 nucleotides) under Triticum aestivum (bread wheat). RNAcentral's name for it is "partial small subunit ribosomal RNA". The record is from RNAcentral. Lineage: Eukaryota; Viridiplantae; Streptophyta; Magnoliopsida; Poales; Poaceae.
AUGCAACCAUACAAGCUUCUAGUGUGGAUGUGCAGUCUAAAUUCGCCUGCGCGGCGUAGUACAAUUUACCAGGUGGUCGAGGCGGCAAACCCAGCCAUUGUUUGCUUCCAAGAGACAAAAAUUGAAACUAUGAUGCCAGACAUUGUAAGGCAAUGCCUUGGCAGUAAACUAGAGAACUUCUUCUACUUGCCGGCUAUGGGGGCCCAUGGAGGCAUCUUGCUCGCUUGGGAUGAAACUUUUGUGAGGCUCUCGAAUCCAUGA